RNAcentral lists this ribosomal RNA (253 nucleotides) under uncultured bacterium. RNAcentral describes it as "partial 16S ribosomal RNA". It matches the Rfam family "Bacterial small subunit ribosomal RNA", at positions 524 to 776 of the family's 1533-position model. The record is from RNAcentral.
UACGGAGGGUGCAAGCGUUAUCCGGAUUCACUGGGCUUAAAGGGUGCGUAGGUGGGCAGGUAAGUCAGUGGUGAAAUCUCCGGGCUUAACCCGGAAACUGCCAUUGAUACUAUCUGUCUUGAAUACCGUGGAGGUGAGCGGAAUAUGUCAUGUAGCGGUGAAAUGCUUAGAUAUGACAUAGAACACCAAUUGCGAAGGCAGCUCACUACACGAAUAUUGACACUGAGGCACGAAAGCGUGGGGAGCAAACAGG